RNAcentral lists this ribosomal RNA (396 nucleotides) under uncultured bacterium. Its description in RNAcentral is "bacterial SSU rRNA". It matches the Rfam family "Bacterial small subunit ribosomal RNA", at positions 29 to 420 of the family's 1533-position model. The record is from RNAcentral.
AUUGAACGCUGGCGGCAGGCUUAACACAUGCAAGUCGAACGGCAGCACAGCAGUAGCAAUACUGUGGGUGGCGAGUGGCGGACGGGUGAGGAAUACGUCGGAAUCUGCCCAGUCGUGGGGGAUAACUAGCCGAAAGGUUAGCUAAUACCGCAUACGACCGAGAGGUGAAAGCGGGGGACCGCAAGGCCUCGCGCGAUUGGAUGAGCCGACGUCGGAUUAGCUAGUUGGCGGGGUAAAGGCCCACCAAGGCGACGAUCCGUAGCUGGUCUGAGAGGAUGAUCAGCCACACUGGAACUGAGACACGGUCCAGACUCCUACGGGAGGCAGCAGUGGGGAAUAUUGGACAAUGGGCGCAAGCCUGAUCCAGCAAUGCCGCGUGUGUGAAGAAGGCCUCGG